This 431-nucleotide ribosomal RNA is filed under the name uncultured bacterium. RNAcentral's name for it is "partial 16S ribosomal RNA". It matches the Rfam family "Bacterial small subunit ribosomal RNA", at positions 29 to 507 of the family's 1533-position model. The record is from RNAcentral.
AACGAACGCUGGCGGCAGGCUUAACACAUGCAAGUCGAGCGCAUCCUCCGGGGUUAGCGGCGGUCGGGUGAGUAACGCGUGGGAACGUGCCCUUUUCUACGGUGUCGUUUCGGGUAACUGAGAGUAAUGCAACAUGCGCCAGCAAGGGGAAAGAGCUAUCGGAGGAGGAUCGGCCCGGGAAGGUUUAGGUAGUUGGUGGGGUAAUGGCCGACCAUACCGACGGUCCAUAGGUGGUUUGAGGAUGAUCAGCCACACUGGAACUGAGGCACGGCCCAGACUCCGACGGGAGACAGGAGUGGGGUGUCUUAGACGAUGAGGGCAACCCUGGUCCAGCCAUGCCGCGUGAGCGGUGCAGGCCUUAGGGUUGUAAUGAUCUUUCAGCUGGGAAGUUAAUGACGGUAACAGCAGAAGAAGCCCCGGCUAACUCCGUG